UAGAGUUUGAUCCUGGCUCAGGACGAACGCUGGCGGCGUGCCUAAUACAUGCAAGUCGAACGAAGCUUUCUUUCACCGAAUGCUUGCAUUCACCGAAAGAAGCUUAGUGGCGAACGGGUGAGUAACACGUAGGUAACCUGCCCGAAAGAGGGGGAUAACACUUGGAAACAGGUGCUAAUACCGCAUAACCAUGAACACCGCAUGAUGUUCAUGUAAAAGACGGCUUUUGCUGUCACUUUUGGAUGGGCCUGCGGCGUAUUAACUUGUUGGUGGGGUAACGGCCUACCAAGGUGAUGAUACGUAGCCGAACUGAGAGGUUGAUCGGCCACAUUGGGACUGGGACACGGCCCAAACUCCUACGGGAGGCAGCAGUAGGGAAUCUUCCACAAUGGACGAAAGUCUGAUGGAGCAACGCCGCGUGAAUGAAGAAGGCCUUCGGGUCGUAAAAUUCUGUUGUCAGAGAAGAACGUGCGUGAGAGUAACUGUUCACGUAUUGACGGUAUCUGACCAGAAAGCCACGGCUAACUACGUGCCAGCAGCCGCGGUAAUACGUAGGUGGCAAGCGUUGUCCGGAUUUAUUGGGCGUAAAGGGAACGCAGGCGGUCUUUUAAGUCUGAUGUGAAAGCCUUCGGCUUAACCGAAGUAGUGCAUUGGAAACUGGAAGACUUGAGUGCAGAAGAGGAGAGUGGAACUCCAUGUGUAGCGGUGAAAUGCGUAGAUAUAUGGAAGAACACCAGUGGCGAAAGCGGCUCUCUGGUCUGUAACUGACGCUGAGGUUCGAAAGCGUGGGUAGCAAACAGGAUUAGAUACCCUGGUAGUCCACGCCGUAAACGAUGAGUGCUAAGUGUUGGAGGGUUUCCACCCUUCAGUGCUGCAGCU
RNAcentral lists this ribosomal RNA (879 nucleotides) under uncultured bacterium. RNAcentral's name for it is "bacterial SSU rRNA". It matches the Rfam family "Bacterial small subunit ribosomal RNA", at positions 1 to 853 of the family's 1533-position model. The record is from RNAcentral.